UUUUUUCUCACAAUUUCUCUAAUCUUUACUCAUGUUAUGUCCCUGAAUGUCUUGGUAUAGGUUUAAGUGUGGGACAGUCUGAAAAUUGAUAGCAUUUAGCAUUUCUUUUUUCUCAAAAAGAAACUGUAGGAAAUACAUGACAGAGAAAGUUACACUCAGGGAGCAGCAGCACCUCCAGACUGGAAAAAUGUGUUAAUCUUUGCAUCAUAUUGGACUCUUGAAGGCAAUCCUUCCUCUGGCCAGGAAAUUUUUUAAAAAAUAAUACUGUGUUGUGUUUAUCUAAAUACGUAAACUCAAGCUACCAAAGAGAAAGAUGUUGUAAUCACAUCUGCAUGUCCUAAAUUUUGAAUUUAGAUAUUCCAAUUUGCAUCAGUCUUUCUGUGGCUCAAAUAAUGAUGAUUAUGGAAUGAAUUUUAAUGUCCCUACUUGUGAAUAAUUAGCUUUCUCAAAUGUAGGCUUUUUACAAAUUUUAAAUUUUAAAAUAUUAGUUUAAAUGUGUGUUAUACUGAUAAAAUUUCAUCUUUCAAAUUAUAGUCUAUUAUUUUAAAGGGAUUUUUCAGUAUGAUAUGGGCCAUUUUGUUCAUCUAUCGCAAAGUAAAAAUGUAAAGUCGUUACAGAGAAUUGUUUCACAAAACUUAUAUUUCAUGUCAAUUGUAUUUAUUUUAAUAAUAGCUCACAAUGCCUUUAGUAAGUAAUAAAGUCUCUUAUUAGAAUCUUGUAUUUUUUAAUUGAGCUAAUCAAAAUAAUUCAGCCAAG
Molecule: long non-coding RNA, 756 nt
Filed under: Homo sapiens (human)
Lineage: Eukaryota; Metazoa; Chordata; Mammalia; Primates; Hominidae
Description: LHRI_LNC881.1
Source: RNAcentral